AAUCCAUAGGUUAAUGAGGCGAACCGGGGGAACUGAAACAUCUAAGUACCCCGAGGAAAAGAAAUCAACCGAGAUUCCCCCAGUAGCGGCGAGCGAACGGGGAGGAGCCCAGAGCCUGAAUCAGCAUGUGUGUUAGUGGAAGCGUCUGGAAAGGCGCGCGAUACAGGGUGACAGCCCCGUACACAAAAGCGCAUGUGCUGUGAGCUCGAUGAGUAGGGCGGGACACGUGGUAUCCUGUCUGAAUAUGGGGGGACCAUCCUCCAAGGCUAAAUACUCCU
This 278-nucleotide ribosomal RNA is filed under the name Salmonella enterica. RNAcentral's name for it is "partial 23S ribosomal RNA". It matches the Rfam family "Bacterial large subunit ribosomal RNA", at positions 161 to 477 of the family's 2925-position model. The record is from RNAcentral. Lineage: Bacteria; Pseudomonadati; Pseudomonadota; Gammaproteobacteria; Enterobacterales; Enterobacteriaceae.